UGGGGAAUAUUGGACAAUGGGCGAAAGCCUGAUCCAGCCAUGCCGCGUGAGUGAUGAAGGCCCUAGGGUUGUAAAGAUCUUUUGUGCGGGAAGAUAAUGACGGUACCGCAAGAAUAAGCCCCGGCUAACUUCGUGCCAGCAGCCGCGGUAAUACGAAGGGGGCUAGCGUUGCUCGGAAUCACUGGGCGUAAAGGGUGCGUAGGCGGGUUUCUAAGUCAGAGGUGAGAGCCUGGAGCUCAACUCCAGAACUGCCUUUGAUACUGGAAGUCUUGAGUUCGGGAGAGGUGAGUGGAACUGCGAGUGUAGAGGUGAAAUUCGUAGAUAUUCGCAAGAACACCAGUGGCGAAGGCGGCUCACUGGCCCGAUACUGACGCUGAGGCACGAAAGCGUGGGGAGCAAACA
This 402-nucleotide ribosomal RNA is filed under the name uncultured bacterium. Its description in RNAcentral is "bacterial SSU rRNA". It matches the Rfam family "Bacterial small subunit ribosomal RNA", at positions 355 to 774 of the family's 1533-position model. The record is from RNAcentral.